This 409-nucleotide long non-coding RNA is filed under the name Rattus norvegicus (Norway rat). RNAcentral describes it as "long non-coding RNA NONRATT023500". Lineage: Eukaryota; Metazoa; Chordata; Mammalia; Rodentia; Muridae. The record is from RNAcentral.
GUGGUGUCAACAGAACCACACAAUCUGCAGAGGAGUUUGUAGUUCGGGUUCCCGUGGUAGAUGUGCAGAGUGACAACUUCAAGGAGAUAUGGCCAUCACUCUUGCUAGCCUUAAAGACAGCUAGCUUUGUGGCGGUGGACACGGAGCUGAGUGGCCUUGGGGAUAGGAAGAGUUUGCUGAACCAGGUGACAGUUCUUACUUGGCUCAAGUGUUCAAUCUCACCCUACUGUGCAUGGAGGAGUAUGUUAUAGAACCGAAGUCAGUACAGUUCCUGGUACAGCAUGGCUUCAACUUCAACCGGCAGUAUGCUCAGGGGAUCCCCUACCAUAAAGGCAAUGACAAGGGAGAUGAAAGCCAGAGCCAGUCAGUACGGACACUGUUCCUUGAACUAAUUCGAGCCCGGCGGCCG